GAGUUCAAUAGUACGUGAAACCGUUCAGGGGUAAACCUGAGAAACCCGAAAGGUCGAAAGGGGAGAUUCAUUCGCGGCUCGUCGACUAUACCGAUGGAUCGCGCGACGAUCGGCCACGUGUCGGUCGCGCCUUUCUUUCGUGUUAAUGGUCGUUUCGAACGCGUGCACUUCUCCCCGAGUAGGACGUCGCGAUCCGUUGGGCGUCGGCCUAAGGCCCCGCGGUGGAGCCCGGACGGACGGUUCGCCGUUCCAUCCGGACCCGUGGUGUCCCGGCCGGCUCGCUCGACGGUAAGCAUAAGGCGCUGGGCCGCGACACAGCUCGCGUUCGUCCCGCGGCAAGCACUGCACGUGCGUCGGCGAUCGGACUUGCGCCGAUCCCGGCCCGUGGAGUCUGUUGGCUGCGGUGUUCUCGAACAGACCUAGUCGAAACGCCGAUCUGCGACGCUAUAGCUUUGGGUACUUUCAGGACCCGUCUUGAA
RNAcentral lists this ribosomal RNA (479 nucleotides) under Enoclerus sp. S85. RNAcentral's name for it is "eukaryotic LSU rRNA". The record is from RNAcentral. Lineage: Eukaryota; Metazoa; Arthropoda; Insecta; Coleoptera; Cleridae.